AUACCCGCUGAACUUAAGCAUAUCAAUAAGCGGAGGAAAAGAAACCAACAGGGAUUGCCUCAGUAACGGCGAGUGAAGCGGCAAAAGCUCAAAUUUGAAAUCUGGCUCUUUCAGAGUCCGAGUUGUAAUUUGUAGAGGAUGCUUCGGCUUACGUUUCGGUCUAAGUUCCUUGGAACAGGACGUCACAGAGGGUGAGAAUCCCGUUUGUGGCCGAGACUUCCGCCAUGUGAAGCUCCUUCGACGAGUCGAGUUGUUUGGGAAUGCAGCUCUAAAUGGGAGGUAAAUUUCUUCUAAAGCUAAAUACCGGCCAGAGACCGAUAGCGCACAAGUAGAGUGAUCGAAAGAUGAAAAGCACUUUGGAAAGAGAGUUAAAAAGUACGUGAAAUUGUUGAAAGGGAAGCGCUUGCGACCAGACUUGCCCGCAGAUGCUCAACCGGUCCUUCGGCCGGUGCACUCUUCUGCGGUCAGGCCAGCAUCAGUUCGAGCGGUCGGAUAAAGGCCUUGGGAAUGUGGCUCUCUUCGGGGAGUGUUAUAGCCCUUGGUGUAAUACGGCCCGCCUGGACUGAGGCCCGCGCUUCGGNUAGGAUGCUGGCGUAAUGGUCGUAAGCGGCCCGUCUUG
This 619-nucleotide ribosomal RNA is filed under the name Helicosporium pallidum. RNAcentral describes it as "eukaryotic LSU rRNA". It matches the Rfam family "Eukaryotic large subunit ribosomal RNA", at positions 21 to 656 of the family's 3401-position model. Lineage: Eukaryota; Fungi; Ascomycota; Dothideomycetes; Tubeufiales; Tubeufiaceae. The record is from RNAcentral.